Molecule: ribosomal RNA, 251 nt
Filed under: uncultured prokaryote
Description: partial 16S rRNA
Rfam family: Bacterial small subunit ribosomal RNA
Source: RNAcentral
ACGUAGGGGACAAGCGUUGUCCGGAUUUACUGGGCGUAAAGGGCACGCAGGCGGUUUUUUAAGUCAGAUGUGAAAGGUACCGGCUCAACCGGUGACAUGCAUUUGAAACUGAAAGACUUGAGUAUUGGAGAGGGAAGUGGAAUUCGUAGUGUAGGGGUGAAAUGCAUAGAUAUGAGGAGGAGCACCGAUAGCGAAGGCGGCUUGCUGUGCAAAUACUGACUCUGAGGUGCGAAAGCGUCGGGAACAAACAG